Molecule: non-coding RNA, 73 nt
Organism: Ictidomys tridecemlineatus (thirteen-lined ground squirrel)
Lineage: Eukaryota; Metazoa; Chordata; Mammalia; Rodentia; Sciuridae
Source: Rfam
GAGAGUAUGGCUCAGUGAUUAAGUGCUUGCCUAACAUGCAGGAGGCCCCUGGGUUCAAUCCCCAGUAAUCACA